This is a non-coding RNA of Schizosaccharomyces pombe (fission yeast), 354 nucleotides long. Lineage: Eukaryota; Fungi; Ascomycota; Schizosaccharomycetes; Schizosaccharomycetales; Schizosaccharomycetaceae. The record is from the annotation of a GenBank genome assembly.
AAGUGUGUUUUAAGCAAGAAAUAGAAUAAUAAUCUUUAUAGUGUUUGAUUUAUUUCAAUUUAACUCGUUUCAUUCAUUAAUAGCUGUUCCUUGCGAUUUCAAAUUUGAAGGCAUGUUGAAUUUGGAAAUUCUAUGUGUUGCUAUUCUCUUCUCUUUUUUAAAGAGAAAUGUUUAAAUAGUAUUAAUGGUUUUAACUAUGCUCAAAAAAAGAGGGAGCACAGCACAACCGAAGACCAAUGCAACAUACCAUUGUUGGAAUUGAAUUAGCUUGCUGUGGUUAUUGUUUAUUUUCAAUUUUUUUUAUGUUGGUUUGCAGGGUUUAACGAAUGGUUUCAGCACGUUUUCAAACACUUU